Molecule: long non-coding RNA, 7278 nt
Organism: Anguilla rostrata (American eel)
Lineage: Eukaryota; Metazoa; Chordata; Actinopteri; Anguilliformes; Anguillidae
Exons: 2
Source: RefSeq, a predicted model, not a curated record
GAGGGCGUGAGGUUGAAAAGUAUGACGACAAGUAAUAGUUUUCUCUCUCUCUUUUCCCUGCGAUUUCAGGCAGCAUGGCUGUGUGUGAACGGGCUAAUUCCUGGGCUGUCGUCCCACACAUCUCCCCCCUCCCUCUCUCCCUCCCUCCCCCCACUCACGCACCCACCCACCGAAACAUGUAGCAACAAAGCGCCGUUGAAUGUAUCUACUCCCCCUCCGAAACUCAGGUAGCAACUCGAACGCACUGGACUCGCUAUUGUGUGCUAUCCGUAUUGUUUCAACGUGUCCGUUUGCAGUAAACAUUCGCGUUCUGGCGUUCAAUCCGGUUGACUUCAAAUAAAAGGAGAGAAUCCAGGGCCCCUCCUCCUUCCUUCCCUUUGGCGCCACCGCGACCUCUGGCGGUAAAACCCGGAACAUCAGGGAGAACCCAAGGAUAACAGGACCGUCUGACUAACCGGAACACAGAGACCCCUUGUGGCUACUUCCGUGAAUACACAUUUUCUUUCAAUAAAACAUUUAAACUACCUGCUACACACGAACCUUAUCACAUCCCCAUUUUCUCGGCGAUUGUCAAGCUGUACAUUCUAUACUUGAACUUCUAUUCUCUGCAUUUUCACUUCCUUAAUAAUGUUAAUGGAGGCAUGUUGAAGAUAUUACUACAAAUAAAAACAAGUAAACACAGAUACACACAUGCCUGCGCAUGUACACACACACAUGCAUACACACACAUUUUUGGAUGUAUUGGGAUGUUUUUUCAAUCAACAAAAUUUGUAUGAGUGAACUUGUGAAUGAACUUGUAAACCAUAAAAUAUAUCUCAACAUCUUACCAAAUGACUUCAUCCCCAGGUCUGUGCAUGAGUGCCUAAAAGUCUGAGGACAAAUGCUGCAUUUAUACUACCAUAGAUAGUUUCAGAAAGGCAUCGGCAAUGUGAAUAAUGAGUGGACAGUGGCGUCUUGUCUUAUCAGGAGAUGACAGAGUCAUUGUUUCUCUGGAAAAGCGAACGACUUAAAUCCGUUCAACAGCAAGUGACAAAUAAGCAGGAAAUAGUUGCUUAAAGGAUAGCAUCUAUUUUCCCACAGACAUUCUGUAUGUUCUUCUCUUUAUAUUAUGGUCUUUCUUGUUUUUUGUUUUUUUGGCAAGAAACACAUUGGCUUGAGUCAAUUUUAUCUAAGUUAAAUUAAUUUGUAACAUAGAAACUGUUUAAUUUGAGUUGUUUUCAUUUUUAAAAAAUUAAAAAAUUGUACGUGUUGUUAAAAUGUUACACUGCUUGUUGGAAAUGUUGUGUAAAUACAAACAAAAUGACAUUUAAUAAAUAUUUUAAGAUCAAAAUGAUGUGAAACUGCACCUACUACUCAUGGAGUUCCCAUAAAGCAAUCCAAGCAGAAAUUACAUUAGUAAAAUUCUUCCCAGCAAUAAGGUAUAGUGACACAAUAAGACAAAGAAAGUAUACACUUUGUUUAUUAAGUUGAUUGAUAAACAGGAAAUCACUGGGAGAGAGAAUCGUCAGAUCACUGUGAAUUUUGCUGUACGACAUCAUCUGUGAUGAGUAAUCAAAGACAACUUCAUUAAUCAAAGAUAGCCCGGCAAUAAGUCCUGACUAUUUUGAAAUAUUCAUUGCAGCAGAUUGGUGGGUGAGACAUGCAUGUUUAAUUACUCUGGAGGAUGAGGUCCUUUUCAUUCAUAGACCUGAAGCUCCACAUAAUCAAUUAAUUGCUCAUUGAUUAUACUGGAAGGACAAUAUUCUGAUCUUUUCGCUAGCUAGCCGGGUAGCACUAAAAUGAAUGGGACCUGGCCUGAAAUCCCCUGAUCGGUCACUGGGGGGCAGGCCUGUACUUGGCGCACUGGUAGCCGCUGAGCUGAGGGUCGCAGGUGAGGGUGUAGGAGUAGGAGAAGCCUCCCUUGCUCAGGGCGCAGCUCACGGUGUGGGUCCCCUCCUGGAGUCGCGUGCGGCAGGUGCCCAGGUGGUCGUCGUACUUCACGUCCUUGUCCCACACCUCCAGCUUCAGCUCGUGGAAGGCCUCCACGUGGCCCAGGUCAUAGACCGAGUUCCAGCGGGGGUUGUCUUCUGAUUUGAUCCAGUGGGUCUGGUGGAAGUGGCGCCCGUACCAGAACUUCACGUAGGGGUCCGUGCUCCCCACGGGGUCCCCGUCCAACCCCCAGGCUUUGAUCACCGUCACCCGGAGCCGGCCCCUCAUUGGCUGCAGGGGGCAGCAGUCGGAGGAGAGAUUGGGCUGCCCGAAACACUGCUGAGGCGCCUUGUCCUUCGCAAUGGCGUUCUCCCUCAGGUACUGGUUGACCGCGGUCUUCACGUUUCCCCCGACGACGGGGUCGGGAACCAGCUCGUGAAGGGGGAACAGGGAAUACGACACGAUGUCCGGGGCGUCCUUGAGGCUGGUCAGCCAGCGUCGGAAUGCCAUGGAGUCGUUCUUGAACAGGGACACCUCUCCCAGCCACUUUUCGCCCCCGAGCACCUCGGUGAUGUGGUUCAGAUAGGACAGCUGGGAUCCCGUCUGGCUGUCCUGGUUCUCCAGCAGAGAUCUGCACUGGCUGGUCGUGGCGGAAGGUUCCAGAAAGCCCAGCCCCACAGAGAGGCCCGUGUUCAGGCAGUCCUUCACCUUGGUGGCCGAGUGGUUGUUGACGGAGGCCAGACAGGUGCGGAUGGAGGUGAGCCUCUUCAGACGGCCGCCCAGUUCCACCUGCUGGAUGUAGUGGGUUCCGUAGGUGCUGAUGAAUCUCUGGUACAGGUGUCGGGUGCUUGGGUUGUACUCCUGUGGGAGAGAGCGCACCUGCGCUCGGAACUCGGAGCUGAGAGGCGGGUUCCCGGAGACGCGGUAGCUACAAAUCAGAGAAAAUAAAAGAGUGAUAAGAAUAAUAGAAGUGAUAAACAAGUGAUAAAAGAGGUGGAUUACUGGAAACAAGGUAGCUGUAAGACAGAAGAAAAAGAAUAAGUAAAAUAGUGAUAUAUCUUUUGCUUUCCGAUAUAGUUUUCAGUGUGUGUUGUCCGUUACCCUGGCAAUGCAAUUAUUGGGUCCAAGUGUGAUGUCAUGUGAGCACAUAUUAUCGACAGCAACCGAUUAUGACUCCUCAGUAACCCAACAAACCCAUCCAAUGAUAUUGCUCCAUGUUUCCAAAAAUAAAUAAAAAAUCAUGUCGAUGACAAAAUAUAUAUAGUUUUUGGUAUUUUAUGGUGUAUAUGAUUAUGACUAAUGAGCAAGUCAAAUUCAAUUUCAACUAAACACUUAAAGUUAAAGAAAACAUUCUGAAAAGAUACUUUUUUAGUCAGCUUCUGGCAAAAUUUUCCAUGUCUGGUUUAAAAUGUCUGUGGUCUCCAUUUCAGCUUUAUUUUUAUAGUAAAAAUGUUUCAAUACAGUGAAAAUACACAAUUUCACUUUUGAAAGAUGAAACUGUUCACAGGGUUUCAUCCUGCACAGUUAUGAACAUACAUUAAAUUUGUUAUAAAUAGUAAAAGUAUUUUGACUAAGAAUGCUAUAACUUGCUUUUUGGGUAGGCUGCAAGUGCAGAUUACUUGUCCUUUCAACGUAUCAUUUGUUUAUUUAAGUGAUGCACCAUGGGAAGGCAAGCUGCAUCACUCUUAAUAAGGACUGCUCUUACAACAUUACCAUGUCCUGUGUUAAUUCAGCUCUAGAGUGGGACCAAAUGUUAUCUGUUAUAUGUUGAAUUAACACUGUUAGAGUUGAAUUAACACAGGCCACUUGAUUGUGUAGUCCGUGAGUUGCAAAUGCUAACGAAAAAGCGUGUGCUCUCCUGUUUUUUUCAAACACAUUUUUAGGAGGUAUACGUGUAAUACGCACUUAUUUAAAAAGUAGCCUAGUUUUUUUUUUUUUUUUUUUUUUAAGUUAUUGCUUGUGGAUUGGGGGUGAUUAAAAAUAAAGGCAAAACUUGCAAUAACGAUUUAUGGUAACUGGCGAAAGGGUAAAAAGAACACGUUGGAAUCAGCCAGUAAGUGAAUCCGCUAAUGUUUUAGCUAAAUUUUGUUUCAGGGGUUUGACUCACCUGUAGUGGCUACAGCUGAGCUGGUGAGAAGUGAAGACGGAUUUGUCCAUCGUGUAGGCGGCGGUGGCGAACUCAACCGCGUUAGAGUGGCUACCGCCGACGGUCAGAUCCGCCAAGUCCCCGAGGCCCAGCCCCACGGUCCAGUCGUUCUCGAUGAGGUCCGUGGCGCUGUCGGCCACGGAAGUGACGGUGUUCAGCAGAGCGCUGGACAGCUCCUGUCGGCAGCUGGUGAAGGAGCGCCAGUCCAGGACGGACAGCGGAAGUUUCUGAAGCUCGUCACGGUGCAGGGUGUUCUCGCAGAGCGUGCACGAGUCGCUAGGGUCCAGGAAGGUCUGCAGGUCGAUCACGUAGGCGCCUUUGUGCUGAAGCUUCACGAUGUCGAAGCCCUCUCCCGCCAGGUUAUGCCCGGGGACAAAAGACGCUUUCUGGCAUUCCUCCAGGGUGCCCACCCGGCAGGACAGGACCGCGCCCAUCUGUCCCAGAGCCAGGAGCCACAGGCAGAGUCGGGGAGCCAUGGCUCUCACUGGCAGCAGGGGAGGAAUGGAAGAACAUGACAUCACUGUUUUUAAACCGCCACCGUCAUGCAGGGUUAAAAAGCACAUUGGUUUCAUACUUGGACGAUAUGAAACCCUGUGAUGCCAUAUUAGACACCAAUCAGCAUUAGCCUAGAGUAUAAUUCGGUGUUAUGUAGUCUGUUUAAUAUGUAUAAUCUAAAUGUGUAAUCUGAUUGCUUUUUGGAUUACUUAAAGUUUCAUUAGACAAGUUUAUAACAGUACAUGUUUUUUUGUAAAAUACAUUAGUUUGUAUGUUUCUGACAACACUGCAGUUUUUUUAAAAUUUUUUGUUCUUUGAAUGUGUGGCUACAAUACACACUCUCCUGCUCAUCUUCCUGUGUAGCUGUACAUGUGGUUAGUGUGUGUGUGUGUGUGUAUGUACAUUUAUAUAUGUAUGUGUAAAUUUAGGCCUAUACAAUAAUCUCAUCUCACCUGUUGCAGGACCGCAGUGAAGCUCUGCUUGUUAACAGGCUGCUCUCUUCAGUUCCCGCAGACCCAGAUGAAGCUUAAAAUGGGCCUCUUCUCCUCGCUCACCUGGUGGAUGCCUUCUGUCGUGGAAACGGCCUCGAUUCCCUCCUUUUCAAGAUUCGGCUGGCCUUCAGCCCAGUCAGGUAUGUGAAGCCCAGCUGCAUUUUUCCCAGAGAAGUUAGGACAGAGUAUCCAAAAACAGAAGGAUAUCUUCACAAUGUGGAGCCACAACAUGCCACCUGCUUGAAUCUGCAUACUCAUGUUGGUUUUUCAAAGCAAAUACACCAUCCCUCAUACCCUCUCAUUUUUUUCCCAAUAUAUCGUCAUUUAUGUUUUUAAUCAUAAAUGGUGGGUUUUAUGUUAACUUGUAGUCCUGCUAGCUACUGACUCACACAACAACACACUGUACAACUGACUCCAGCUCAAUUACAUAACAUAACAUAACAUGUUUGAAAUGAUUAACCUGUUCUCACACAUAUGACUAAAAAGAGUGUAGGCCCAUUUGACCGCACUAUAAUACCUUUGAAAAGGAAUGAACACAUUAAGUUGGAAAUGUAACACAGCUGAAAUUACCUGUUGGAUACUGCAGGGGUGUGUGUGUGCAUGGUCUUUGGAGAGUGUGUGUUGACCUUUGGCUGUAUUUGUGUGUGGUCACAGUGGACAGUGUUGUGUUGAGGUUUGGGUGUGUGUGCAUGGUCACACUGGCGAAUGUGUGUUGAGGUUUGGGAGUGUGUGUGUGGUCACAUUGGAGUGUGUGUUGAGGUUUGGGUGUGUGUGCGUGGUCAUAGUGGAGAGUGUGUGUUGAGGUUUGGGAGUGUGUGCAUGGUCACAGAGGAGAGUGUGUUGAGGUUUGGGUGUGUGUGCACAGUCAUGGUAGAAAGUGUGUGUUGAGGUUUGGGAGUGUGUGUGUGGUCACAUUGGAGUGUGUGUUGAGGUUUUGGUGUGUGUGCCUGGUCAUAGUGGAGAGUGUGUUGAGGUUUCUGUGCACACGUACACACACACUAUACAUACAAGAACACACAAACAUGCACAGACAUACACACAUACAUAUACACACACACACACACACACACGUGCACGUAUGCGCUCACACACACACCACACUGUUUUUUUCUGUCUGGUCCCCAGGCACUGAUGCGCUGUCUAUGGAUUUAUAUAAGCGCUUCUGGGGUCCACUAGGAACUGAUUUACAGGAAGUGAUGCUGGAGUGUCUUCAGGAGGGGUCACUACCAGUCUCUUUUCAGUGAGCAGCUCUCUCUCUUUUGCCAAAUAAAGGGGAUUUGGCUUCGGUUACAAACUGGAGGCCUGCUGCUCUCCUGUCAAGUGACUAUAUGGUGCUCUCAAAGAUUUUGGCGAGCAGUCUGAAAGAAUCUUAGCAAAACUGAUCCAUCAGGUUCAUUCAUAUUGCAACCCAGGAAGACCUAUUAUCUUCUGUAGAUCUAUUGAUCCAACUGCAGGGGAGAGCUGCCUAUUCUGUGGGUGUGGAAAGUGUGGUUCUUUGAGUGCAAUAGGCAAGAGGACAUGCUAGGAAUAGUGAGGUGCUGAUGUUCAGGGCUAGGCAUGACUCUUUCCUGGGUGGGCCAAAGUAUACAAUAUUAGAAAAGAGGAGAGUAUGUCUACUAAAUUUUUGGAUAGGCUUAACUACAGUAGGUACUUGGAAGGGUAGAACAAACAAAAGACGUGGGGCAGGAUCAAUGGAGGCAGAAGGCAUUUUGUGUGGUCUGAUAGCAGGAAGGCUUCUGGUAAAGUUCUAUUACACACUUGUGGAAAACAAACCACAUUUUGAGCAACGAGGUGCUGUGAUGUUGAUGAGGAGGCAAGACUUUGCCUUGGUUCUUGACCUUUUGACUUUUGUUGAUGCAGUAUGACUGUGUGUAUAUGAGAAAACUGAAGAUGAUCUGUUCUCUCUGUCCUUCUCUCUCUGUCUCUUUUCUCUCUCGGCCUGCAAUGGUUGUUUGGGUUUAUUUUUUGUUGUUUGGUCUGUUUCGCUCUGUAAGUUCUGUAAUUUCUGUGUGUGAACAAUUUGCAAAUAAAACAGGUUUUAAAAAUCAAAUAAUCUCCUUUAAAAAAAUUGCCCUCUGUAAACACCCCCCCACACACACACGUUCUUCACCCCCCACAAACAAGAAACUGUCCUUUUUGGCCCUUCUCUUUAAUUUAACAUGCGUUUGGAGAGGCAGUACAGAAUGAAUCAGAUUCACAACAGCAACUGGGAAAUCAGCCCAAAUCUACAUGGAAACC